UUACCAUGCAAGUCGAACGCUGAAGCUUGGGUGCUUGCAUCUGGGUGGAUGAGUGGCGAACGGGUGAGUAAUACGUGAGUAACCUGCCCUUGACUCUGGGAUAAGCCUGGGAAACUGGGUCUAAUACUGGAUACUACAUUCUCUCGCAUGGGGGUGUGUGGAAAGGGUUUUACUGGUUUUGGAUGGGCUCACGGCCUAUCAGCUUGUUGGUGGGGUAAUGGCCUACCAAGGCGACGACGGGUAGCCGGCCUGAGAGGGUGACCGGCCACACUGGGACUGAGACACGGCCCAGACUCCUACGGGAGGCAGCAGUGGGGAAUAUUGCACAAUGGGCGAAAGCCUGAUGCAGCGACGCCGCGUGAGGGAUGACGGCCUUCGGGUUGUAAACCUCUUUCAGCACGGAAGAAGCGAAAGUGACGGUACGUGCAGAAGAAGCGCCGGCUAACUACGUGCCAGCAGCCGCGGUAAU
RNAcentral lists this ribosomal RNA (469 nucleotides) under uncultured bacterium. RNAcentral describes it as "bacterial SSU rRNA". It matches the Rfam family "Bacterial small subunit ribosomal RNA", at positions 49 to 524 of the family's 1533-position model. The record is from RNAcentral.